GCAAACUUGGUCAUUUAGAGGAAGUAAAAGUCGUAACAAGGUUUCCGUAGGUGAACCUGCGGAAGGAUCAUUACUGAAGCGCUUGGAGAUGUUGCUGGCUUCUUUCGGGAAGCAAUGUGCACUCUUCCAACUUUUCACAAUUUCCUUUACACCCCCUUGUGCACCUUUGGUAGGGCCCCUCACAGGCUUUUAAAUAGCCCUGAGGAGGGAGACUCUAUGUUUUUUUUGCUACACCCUUCACACUUGUCCCAAUGUAUGUUGUCAUUAUGAAAACAAAAAAGAAACAACUUUCAACAAUGGAUCUCUUGGCUCUCGCAUCGAUGAAGAACGCAGC
Molecule: unclassified non-coding RNA, 334 nt
Filed under: uncultured fungus
Lineage: Eukaryota; Fungi
Description: partial contains small subunit ribosomal RNA, internal transcribed spacer 1, and 5.8S ribosomal RNA
Rfam family: Eukaryotic small subunit ribosomal RNA (bases 1-73)
Source: RNAcentral